Molecule: ribosomal RNA, 2234 nt
Filed under: Salmonella enterica
Lineage: Bacteria; Pseudomonadati; Pseudomonadota; Gammaproteobacteria; Enterobacterales; Enterobacteriaceae
Description: partial 23S ribosomal RNA
Source: RNAcentral
GGGCGUUAAGUUGCAGGGUAUAGACCCGAAACCCGGUGAUCUAGCCAUGGGCAGGUUGAAGGUUGGGUAACACUAACUGGAGGACCGAACCGACUAAUGUUGAAAAAUUAGCGGAUGACCUGUGGCUGGGGGUGAAAGGCCAAUCAAACCGGGAGAUAGCUGGUUCUCCCCGAAAGCUAUUUAGGUAGCGCCUCGUGAAYUCAUCUCCGGGGGUAGAGCACUGUUUCGGCUAGGGGGCCAUCCCGGCUUACCAACCCGAUGCAAACUGCGAAUACCGGAGAAUGUUAUCACGGGAGACACACGGCGGGUGCUAACGUCCGUCGUGAAGAGGGAAACAACCCAGACCGCCAGCUAAGGUCCCAAAGUCAUGGUUAAGUGGGAAACGAUGUGGGAAGGCCCAGACAGCCAGGAUGUUGGCUUAGAAGCAGCCAUCAUUUAAAGAAAGCGUAAUAGCUCACUGGUCGAGUCGGCCUGCGCGGAAGAUGUAACGGGGCUAAACCAUGCACCGAAGCUGCGGCAGCGAACGUAUCACUUAAAGCGAUUCAGCGGGUUACGAUUGACGGAGCGAAGCGACGUCAAAGCGUAUACAAAGUCGAGUCGGUUUAAGGAUACGUUCGUUGGGUAGGGGAGCGUUCUGUAAGCCUGUGAAGGUGGCCUGUGAGGGUUGCUGGAGGUAUCAGAAGUGCGAAUGCUGACAUAAGUAACGAUAAAGCGGGUGAAAAGCCCGCUCGCCGGAAGACCAAGGGUUCCUGUCCAACGUUAAUCGGGGCAGGGUGAGUCGACCCCUAAGGCGAGGCCGAAAGGCGUAGUCGAUGGGAAACGGGUUAAUAUUCCCGUACUUGGUGUUACUGCGAAGGGGGGACGGAGAAGGCUAUGUUGGCCGGGCGACGGUUGUCCCGGUUUAAGCGUGUAGGUGUGUGUUCCAGGUAAAUCCGGUUCACUUUAACACUGAGGCGUGACGACGAGGCACUACGGUGCUGAAGCAACAAAUGCCCUGCUUCCAGGAAAAGCCUCUAAGCAUCAGGUAACAYSAAAUCGUACCCCAAACCGACACAGGUGGUCAGGUAGAGAAUACCAAGGCGCUUGAGAGAACUCGGGUGAAGGAACUAGGCAAAAUGGUGCCGUAACUUCGGGAGAAGGCACGCUGACACGUAGGUGAAGUGAUUUACUCAUGGAGCUGAAGUCAGUCGAAGAUACCAGCUGGCUGCAACUGUUUAUUAAAAACACAGCACUGUGCAAACACGAAAGUGGACGUAUACGGUGUGACGCCUGCCCGGUGCCGGAAGGUUAAUUGAUGGGGUCAGCGCAAGCGAAGCUCCUGAUCGAAGCCCCGGUAAACGGCGGCCGUAACUAUAACGGUCCUAAGGUAGCGAAAUUCCUUGUCGGGUAAGUUCCGACCUGCACGAAUGGCGUAAUGAUGGCCAGGCUGUCUCCACCCGAGACUCAGUGAAAUUGAACUCGCUGUGAAGAUGCAGUGUACCCGCGGCAAGACGGAAAGACCCCGUGAACCUUUACUAUAGCUUGACACUGAACAUUGAGCCUUGAUGUGUAGGAUAGGUGGGAGGCUUUGAAGYGUGGACGCCAGUCUGCRUGGAGCCGACCUUGAAAUACCACCCUUUAAUGUUUGAUGUUCUAACGUGGACCCGUWAYCCGGGUUGCGGACAGUGUCUGGUGGGUAGUUUGACUGGGGCGGUCUCCUCCUAAAGAGUAACGGAGGAGCACGAAGGUUGGCUAAUCCUGGUCGGACAUCAGGAGGUUAGUGCAAUGGCAUAAGCCAGCUUGACUGCGAGCGUGACGGCGCGAGCAGGUGCGAAAGCAGGUCAUAGUGAUCCGGUGGUUCUGAAUGGAAGGGCCAUCGCUCAACGGAUAAAAGGUACUCCGGGGAUAACAGGCUGAUACCGCCCAAGAGUUCAUAUCGACGGCGGUGUUUGGCACCUCGAUGUCGGCUCAUCACAUCCUGGGGCUGAAGUAGGUCCCAAGGGUAUGGCUGUUCGCCAUUUAAAGUGGUACGCGAGCUGGGUUUAGAACGUCGUGAGACAGUUCGGUCCCUAUCUGCCGUGGGCGCUGGAGAACUGAGGGGGGCUGCUCCUAGUACGAGAGGACCGGAGUGGACGCAUCACUGGUGUUCGGGUUGUCAUGCCAAUGGCACUGCCCGGUAGCUAAAUGCGGAAGAGAUAAGUGCUGAAAGCAUCUAAGCACGAAACUUGCCCCGAGAUGAGUUCUCCCUGAGACUU